Molecule: long non-coding RNA, 3257 nt
Organism: Sarcophilus harrisii (Tasmanian devil)
Lineage: Eukaryota; Metazoa; Chordata; Mammalia; Dasyuromorphia; Dasyuridae
Exons: 3
Source: RefSeq, a predicted model, not a curated record
GCGGGAGAUACUGGCACUAUUUUCUUGCUCUGAGUUACAUAGAAUAGGCGUGUGCGAGAAGAGCAAAAAAGACAAAUAGAACAAAAAAAACAAAAUCAACAAUUCCCUCUCCAUAUAGUUCCCACCCACUCAGGCUGGGGGGAUCCAUUCAGAACUUUUUCAGGGCUCAGGAAGGAGUUCCAGGGCUAGGAAGCGAGGUUGCAGGGGAAACGCUACCUGCUGCAGAAACAUAUAAGGAAAGAAAAGGGAGGGCUUUGGGGAAGAAAAAUGGAGAGAUCCGUAAAUUCCGGGGGUCUAAGGAAUGACUGGUGCAGAGAGGAAUCUUGGAGGAAGGAAAGCCUCAAAGCGGAGCUAGAGCAGAGCGGAGCCUAGGUAGCUAGUCCGGAUUUGUUUGGUUUGGCUUUUAAAUCCCCCUUGUGGGAAGAUGUGGGGAAGAGAAUAAGCAACUUUCAAGCUCUUCUCGCCCCCAGACGAUUUCAGAGAACUUAUGCAUGCAGGACAAGGAUGGGGGGCUGAGAGGUGAGUUGAUGAAUUUAAAAUCGAAGAUCUGGAGAUUAUAGAAUCUUAUAGGUCAAGGAGUCCGGCACUUUGAAUCAGGGUAGAUAAGCACCCAUCCCCCAAUAACUGAAUAUCUCUAGAAUGAAGGACAGAGGGAAAACAGGGAGGAAGAUUGGACUGACUUGUUGCUGUUGCGGUAGUGAUUUGCUCGCUUCCUUACUUGCUUGUCUGCUUGUUUUUUUGCUGGUGGUGGCGCGGGGGCCUUGAAGAGUUGCUGAAUCCCCAUUUGGCCAGUCCGUGACAAGUCUUGCCAGAAUGUAUCUUUCUUAUUGUACUGCUUACAACUUUUAUACAUACUACUUGAAGAUCUUGUGCAGAUUGGAGAAGAGGACCGAAGAAAAUCCCAACUAGUUUUUCAAGGGAUUGGGUUUGGAGAGAGACCGCAAACAUUAAAGGCCAGCAAGCCUUCUCUUGUUAUUCCAAAGGGAUGACUGCUUCUAAUGUGAAAAAGAACCGGGGCUAUCUGAGAGACAAAAUAGGAUGCUUGGCUUCCUGCAGACCUGGAAAGAAGCCCUUGCAUAGAGGCCCUGUGAGAGAAUCAUACGGAAUGGAACCAGUCAACUCCAGUCAGGAAGGGGUGCUGAAAGAGCCCAAGAGGCUCAGACAAGGAACUAGAUGGGUAGCUCUGAACCGGAGAGUAAGAGGGACCUGCGUACCUCUGGUUUAGGGGCAUGUUCCCCCCAAAGCUGGAAUCUAGAAAAGACAAGGGAGGGCCGGCGGAUCUUCUGUGGAGCCUUUAAGGCAGGCAAAGAAACUCUUCAAGUUUCUUUGUAAUUUAACGCAGUUCUUCCGAUUUAUUAGUACUACCUCAUGAGACUGGGAGUUAAUUGGGAGUCAAAAGAUCGUUCCCUAUUAGUGGAUCCUACUUUUUCGAAUUGGGUCAUUAGAGUGUGGAAUUCCCUCCCAACCUCCACGUGGCACUAGGGGCCAAAGGCAGGGUCCUCCACUUAGCAGUCUUGUGUUGUCCUUGCUGCCCAGAGCACGUGAGUCUUUCCCAUCCCCUUCCCAACACACGUUGCGAUUGCGGUUCAGCUUUCUCCCUUGCUCCUUGCAUCUCUCUAAGUGCAGGAUAUGUGUAACUCCCUCCAAACCACUUUCUUCCCAGCUAGCUCGCUGUUGCCUCCAACCAAGUCUUGGGCGCUGUUCUAGCUCUCCCGCUGUGUUUCUGAAGCCGUUUGUCUCCAGCUGGCGCUGGCUCCUCGGGGCAUGUAGUUAGUUCCCUGCAGGGGCCGAGCCUGCGAGUGUUCAGGCCUCUUGACGUCCUCCUGCUGCUCUGAGCUGCUCAAUGUUUCUUUCUCCUUUGCAGAACCCAGUGUUCCUGCUUACUUCUAGAGGCCUCCCCGGGUCCCUGUGGACUAAAGGUGUGGGGGGAUUCGAUUGAGAUGCAAGCCUUCUACCCUUUUCCUCCUUUCAGAGAGGAGCCAAAGGAUAAUUAUUCACUCUAGGGGAAGAACCAAAGUUGUAUCUGAUCAAAGACCAAAUCACAACUUUACUCUGAUUUGGCUACCCCAAGAUAUGCCAUGAGGGAAGCUGUAUUCUUUCCAAGUGUGAAUGACUAAGGGGACACUGCUUUCAAUCACUUCAGAAAGCCCCAAAUUAUUUUCUAUCAAGGUGAAAUUCUAUGUAGUUUCAAAAUGAAAUUGCAGACAGCUUUUGAAACAAUUUCCUACCACCUUUUCCUUCCCUCUCUAUUUUAUAGGUUAUGAUUUCCUUGGAAAUAAAUCCGUUUUCACUUUCUCCUUUCUCAGUUCCUCUACUGGGUACUUUCCUUUAGCCUGGGAGUUUCAGCUGCAAACACGUUAUAGGGCUUCCUUUUUCCAAACACUGCAUUAGCAAGAAAUAGUAUAAGCACAUUUUUGGAAAGUUCAGUCUCUGAGGUUCAGUACUGAGGCUCAGAGUUUUCUGGGAACUAUAAAACAGGGCAGAGUAGAUGGCAGUGCCAAGAGGUUCCAGCUCCCCUGUUAAGGUGAUGGGGUGUUAUAUAUCUGACUCACUUCCCAGUUCCCACAGUGAGCUAUAGCAUUCAUGGAAAUACAUCACCAUCUGAUAAAAGAGCAAAGAGUGAUGGCUCAUAGGAAACUGCAUCUUUUUGGAAAACAACAAUUGACAUUUUCUUUCCCUAAAGAUUUUAUCAAGUAAUAUGAAAUUAUUGGGUUAAGCUAGAAGCAGGUAGAGACCACAGGAGAAAUGUAGGCUUUAGAAACAAAAUGUGGAGAGAUUUUCUGAAUGUGAGGUUAAGAGUUAAAAGACAUCUCAGACCCAAACUCUUACAUAGAUUGUUAAGUGAUUAUACACUCCCAAGAAUCCAAAUGGAAGAGAAGGAAUGGAAUAGAGAGGUCUGGGCAAAAUCUGACAAAGAUUUUGCUGCGAACAAGCUGCACAACUUGAGGAAGAGAAGGGGAGAGCUAUUCAGAAUGACAGGAUGAGUUGGAAAUUCUUUGACACUGACCUGGAAAGAAAGAAUGAAAAAUAAUCUUGUACUCUUUCUUAUCCUUGUCUGUUUGGAUACAUCACAAAAUACAAGACCAAGCUGACACUGGUCUUGAUUGGCCCUGGGUUGCAAUUAGAUCAUUGAACUAAAGGCUCACAUACAUAAUAAUACAUACAUGCAGCUAUACAUAUACACGUGUAUAUGUGUACACCGAGAUGUGAAUAUACAUAUAUAUACAUGCAUGUAUAAAUGCACAAUACACAUAUAG